GGAGAAUCAGGGUUUGGUUCUGGAGAGGCCGCCUGAGAAACGGCGACCACUUCCAAGGAAGGCAGCAGGCGCGCAAAUUACCCACUCUCAAAACGAGGAGGUAGUGAAGAGAAAUAACGAUGUUAGUCUUUUUAAGGCUGACAAUCGGAAUGGGAACACUGUAAACAGGUUAUCGAUUAACAAUUGGAGGGCAAGUCUGGUGCCAGCAGCCGCGGUAAUUCCAGCUCCAAUAAGGAAAACUAAAGUUGCUGUGUUUAAAAAGCUCGUAGUUGAAUUUCGGGUAUUUGUUGCUAGCUGGUCUAACUGGCCAUGUUGGUUAACAGAUCCUCAUUUGCUGGACGGCUGGCGAUGAUCUUCAUCGAUUGUCGUCAGUUGCCAGAACGUUUACUUUGAGAAAAUUAGAGUGCUAAAAGCAGGCUCACGCCUAUAUAUAUUGCUUGGAAUAAUGAAAUAAGAUCUCGAUUUUAUUUCGUUGGUUUUAGAAAUUGAGAUAAUGAUUAAUAGGAUCAGAGGGGGGCGUACGUACUGUGGUGUGAGAGGUGAAAUUCUUGGAUCGCCACAGGACGAACAGCAGCGAAGGCGUUCGCCAAGAAUGUUUUCAUUAAUCAAGAACGAAAGUUUGAGGUUCGAAGACGAUUAGAUACCGUCCUAGUUCAAACCAUAAACGUUGCCAACUGUCUUUUAGAUGCGGUUAUUUAUAUGACUCAUCUGGCGGAUCUCGAGAAAUCUAAGUUCUUAGGUUCCGGGGGAAGUAUGGUUGCAAAGCUGAAACUUAAAAGAAUUGACGGAAGGACACACAAGAAGUGGAGCCUGUGGCCUAAUUUGACCCAACACGGGAAACCUUACUCGGCCAGGACACUUUUAGGAUUGACAGAUUGAGAGCUCUUUCUUGAUUAGGUGGGUGGUGGUGCAUGGUCGUUCGUAGUUCGUGGAGCGAUUUGUCUGAUUAAUUUCGAUAACGAACGAGACUCCGGCUUACUAAAUAGUCUAAAGUUCGAAGGGACUUUUCAAGACUUCUUAGCAGGAUAAGUGGCACUUUUUAAGCCACACGAAAUGGAGCAAUAACAGGUCUGUGAUGCCCUUAGAUGUCCGAGGCUGCACGCGCGCUACACUGGAGAGUUCAGAAUGUUUCUUCCUACUUCGACAGAAGUGGGUAACCAUGAAAUUCUCUUCGUGACUGGGAUCGGAGCUUGCAAUUAUUCUCCGUCAACGAGGAAUUCCUAGUAAGCACUAUUUCAUCAGAAUGUGCUGAUUAUGUCCCUGUCCUUUGUACACACCGCCCGUCGCUACUACCGAUUGAAUGUUUUAGUGAGAUCUUCGGCUUGGUUUUCCGAGCGGCUUUCGGGUCGUUCGGUUUAUAUCGAAAAGAUGCUCAAACUGGAUCAUUUAGAGGAAGUAAAAGUCGUAACAAGGUA
Molecule: ribosomal RNA, 1415 nt
Filed under: metagenome
Description: SSU rRNA
Rfam family: Eukaryotic small subunit ribosomal RNA
Source: RNAcentral